AGGAUGAACAUGCAAGUCGAGCGAACGGACGAGAAGCUUGCUUCUCUGAUGUUAGCGGCGGACGGGUGAGUAACACGUGGAUAACCUACCUAUAAGACUGGGAUAACUUCGGGAAACCGGAGCUAAUACCGGAUAAUAUUUUGAACCGCAUGGUUCAAAAGUGAAAGACGGUCUUGCUGUUGGAUCCGCGCUGCAUUAGCUAGUUGGUAAGGUAACGGCUUACCAAGGCAACGAUGCAUAGCCGACCUGAGAGGGUGAUCGGCCACACUGGAACUGAGACACGGUCCAGACUCCUACGGGAGGCAGCAGUAGGGAAUCUUCCGCAAUGGGCGAAAGCCUGACGGAUGAAGGUCUUCGGAUCGUAAAACUCUGUUAUUAGGGAAGAACAUAUGUGUAAGUAACUGUGCACAUCUUGACGGUACCUAAUCAGAAAGCCACGGCUAACUACGUGCCAGCAGCCGCGGUAAUACGUAGGUGGCAAGCGUUAUCCGGAAUUAUUGGGCGGUAGGCGGUUUUUUAAGUCUGAUGUGAAAGCCCACGGCUCAACCGUGGAGGGUCAUGUGCAGAAGAGGAAAGUGGAAUUCCAUGUGUAGCGGUGAAAUGCGCAGAGAGCGAAGGCGACUUUCUGGUCUGUAACUGACGCUGAUGUGCGAAAGCGUGGGGAUCAAACAGGAUUAGAUACCCUGGUAGUCCACGCCGUAAACGAUGAGUGCUAAGUGUUAGGGGGUUUCCGCCCCUUAGUGCUGCAGCUAACGCAUUAAGCACUCCGCCUGGGGAAAGGAAUUGACGGGGACCCGCACAAGCGGUGGAGCAUGUGGUUUAAUUCGAAGCAACGCGAAGAACCUUACCAAAUCUUGACAUCCUUUGACAACUCUAGAGAUAGAGCCUUCCCCUUCGGGGGACAAAGUGACAGGUGGUGAUGUUGGGUUAAGUCCCGCAACGAGCGCAACCCUUAAGCUUAGUUGCCAUCAUUAAGUUGGGCACUCUAAGUUGACUGCCGGUGACAAACCGGAGAAAUCAUCAUGCCCCUUAUGAUUUGGGCUACACACGUGCUACAAUGGACAAUACAAAGGGCAGCGAAACCGCGAGGUCAAGCAAAUCCCAUAAAGUUGUUCUCAGUUCGGAUUGUAGUCUGCAACUCGACUACAUGAAGGAUCAGCAUGCUACGGUGAAUACGUUCCCGGGUCUUGUACACACCGCCCGUCACACCACGAGAGUUUGUAACACCCGAAGCCGGUGGAGUAACCUUUUAGGAGCUAGCCGUCGAAGGUGGG
RNAcentral lists this ribosomal RNA (1274 nucleotides) under uncultured Staphylococcus sp. RNAcentral describes it as "partial 16S ribosomal RNA". It matches the Rfam family "Bacterial small subunit ribosomal RNA". Lineage: Bacteria; Bacillati; Bacillota; Bacilli; Caryophanales; Staphylococcaceae. The record is from RNAcentral.